RNAcentral lists this ribosomal RNA (495 nucleotides) under uncultured bacterium. RNAcentral's name for it is "partial 16S ribosomal RNA". It matches the Rfam family "Bacterial small subunit ribosomal RNA", at positions 899 to 1397 of the family's 1533-position model. The record is from RNAcentral.
ACUCAAAGGAAUUGACGGGGGCCCGCACAAGCGGUGGAGCAUGUGGUUUAAUUCGACGCAACGCGAAGAACCUUACCUGGGCUCGAACGGCUUCGGACCGCCGAUAGAAAUAUUGGCUUUCCCGCAAGGGACUGGAGUCGAGGUGCUGCAUGGCUGUCGUCAGCUCGUGUCGUGAGAUGUUGGGUUAAGUCCCGCAACGAGCGCAACCCUUGUCCUGUGUUGCAACUAAUAGGCACUCUCAGGAGACCGCCAGCGAUAAGCUGGAGGAAGGUGGGGAUGACGUCAAGUCAUCAUGGCCUUUAUGUCCAGGGCUACACACGUGCUACAAUGGACGGUACAAACCGCUGCGAACUCGCGAGAGGGAGCUAAUCGGAAAAAACCGUUCUCAGUUCGGAUUGCAGGCUGCAACCCGCCUGCAUGAAGCUGGAAUCGCUAGUAAUGGUAUAUCAGAACGAUACCGUGAAUACGUUCCCGGGCCUUGUACACACCGCCCGU